Molecule: long non-coding RNA, 675 nt
Filed under: Pan troglodytes (chimpanzee)
Lineage: Eukaryota; Metazoa; Chordata; Mammalia; Primates; Hominidae
Description: long non-coding RNA NONPTRT008501
Source: RNAcentral
GGGGAGGGUGAAAGGAGUCGCGGACCCGGCUGCUCAGCGGAGGAAACCCGGACCCCAGGCUGAGGGAGGCCGAAGAAGGAACUGAAGGGCCGGGCUGGGAAGGCCUGAAGCGAGUACAGCCUUUAGGCUGGAGAGGGUCGAGGGGAGAACUCGGAGCCUGAGUCGGGCGAGGUUUUGCUCCACUCUGGCUUCUAAGUGUGGGAGCCUCAGGAUGUGACCCGUGGUCGUAAACCUGAGGGUGACUUGGAGUUUUUGUCCGUUUUGCACCAUGAGAAAGGCCCCAAAUGGAAUCUGGCAGGUUUUAUACAUUACGAAGGCACGUUUCCAUUUCUCCUGGGCAAAUAUUUAGAAGAAAAGUUGCUGGGUAAUUGGUGGAGACAAGGUUUCGCCACAUUGACUGGGCUGGUCUCGAACUCCUGAGCUCAAGCAACCCGCCCUCCUUGACCUCCCAAAGUGCUAGGAUUACAGGUGUGAACCACCGUGCCCGGCCCUACUUUCUAUCGAAGUAGAAUAGGAAAGCACUGGAGAAGAGAGAAGACAAGAGAAACAGGUCCAUGGUGACAGGAGCCUAGGAAUAGAGCAGGCCUUCAGUCUUGGUGAAAAAAUAAAUGGUAUUCUAAGCCUUCCUUUGGACAUUAAUUCAGUACUACCCACUCUUUUUCUCUUGUCCAUUCC